Molecule: long non-coding RNA, 501 nt
Organism: Myxocyprinus asiaticus (Chinese sucker)
Lineage: Eukaryota; Metazoa; Chordata; Actinopteri; Cypriniformes; Catostomidae
Exons: 4
Source: RefSeq, a predicted model, not a curated record
GGAAGGUUGUGCAAGGCUCUUCAUCUCAGCUUUUUUUCUGUAAGCACAGAGGAUGGCAGGGGGCACUGCUUUAGAGAGUCUGCUCUUCACACUGCUGAGCUUGACAGCUCAAGACCCCAUUUUCUCUUUUGGAAGAAAGUCAUAUGGGUUUGGAAUACCAUGAGGAAAAGAAAAUUGUGACAGAAUUUCCAUCAAGAUGCUUCUUCAGACAAUUUCAUCCAAAGUGACUUACAGUGCAUUCAAGGGGCACCAGGGUCAGCCACCACAACAUGAUGAAGAGAGUGUAAAGAUGCAGCAAGACCUGUCAAACGCAGGAAACCUGUCAAAUGCAUUUCAGCACUGUUCAAAGAAAUACACAGACAAUCUGUAUUAGACUACAUGAAAAAAAAUGAAAAAAAGAUUGACUGCACCACAAAGAUCAGACAUAGUUAGCAAACGUUAAGUGCACAAGUUGAUUCAACAAAUUAGCUUAACAUCGCGCUUUCCCUUGCAUGCCCGACC